This is a long non-coding RNA of Dipodomys spectabilis (banner-tailed kangaroo rat), 2159 nucleotides long. RefSeq lists it as uncharacterized. The record is from RefSeq and is a predicted model, not a curated record. The transcript is spliced from 2 exons. Lineage: Eukaryota; Metazoa; Chordata; Mammalia; Rodentia; Heteromyidae.
CCUAGUGUCUCUCUAAGCAAAACUCCUUCCAUAACUGUAUUGCCUCCUGGCAUGUGUGAGUGUAGGUCUAGGAAAGGUCACAAACUUGGUCUCACUCUAGAACCCUUUCAAGGUUCUCUAACUUCAUUACCUGCCUGUCCACACAGCCCCAGAAGAAUGCCCAAUGUGUGAGUGUGAGUAUGUGUGCAUGUGUGUGUAUUAGAGUGCUGGCAGGGAAAGAAUCAUCAGAGAGAGAAAAAAGAGGUCUGAGAAGAAACAAUCCAAUCUGUGAAUGCCUUUGUGAUUUUAACAUGGAAAAAUAUUGACAGUGCCAUUUUCUUCCCCUCCUCCUGGAACAGAACAAAAGCCAGAAUUCUCACCAGCCCACUUGAUGGCUAAAUCUGGCUCCAAAUUUUGAUAGAGUAUUAGCAUGAAAAUAUUGCAGUAUAUUUGGUCAAAGUCUAAAUACCUUCUUGAUAAAUAAUGCUCAUUCCAUUUCCAAACAUAGGUAAAUUUAGAUUCUAAGCCUCUAGAUAUAAAUUUCUAUUUGCCUUGGAGUGAAGGAAGCUACUCAGCAGUCUUCAUUAAGAUUGCUGAGGUCAUUCUUGACCGCCUAUUACGUUAAAAUAGAGAUCACUGACUCUGGGUGAGAGCUACAGAAUAUAGAGCCCCGCCUCUUGCCAGUAAGCAGAGCCAGUAGGAACACAGGCAGGGAUACAAAGGGCAGGAUCUCCUUACUGAAAUGGAUAAAAGUGUAAGUUCGGUUUUGCUAAAUAGGCUACUCAAAGGAAAUUCAUAUUAUUUGAAUUUAACCUUUAGUAUGUUUUCUCAGGAACAGAAACAAAGUGUGAGUUCCAAAGCAUAGAUGGAAAUCACCCAGUUAUUCCACUUCAUGACUUAAAACUACAGUAUACUUUUUGACCGUAAGCUGGCCAACACUUCAGGGCAUCAUUGAAUUAAACAGAAAAUGCUAAGACAAUCAGAUUUCCACUGACAUGCCUAGAAGAUACACAACUCCCAUGGGUUCAGUGGCCUUUGCUACAGCUUUUGGCUUUUUGUUUCAUUUUGAAUUUAAAAUGUCUAUGGCCUAAACCUUCCCAACUUAGCUCAGAGAAAUCAAGUGCUAUAGAAGAAGAAUUCUGCAUCCUAAGUUACUAGAACCAGAGAGGCAGAGGAUUCACAAAAAUGUUUCAAAUCAUCCUAUCUUAGCAUUACAGAGGAUGUCUAAAUGAUUGUUCACUAAAUGAUUACAGCAAUGGGUUGUCCAUAUAUCUUUUUCAUUACAAUACCCUCUUUUAAACAAUCUACCCUAUGAUAAAGCUUCCUACUUUCAUGCACUUUUAAGUAUUCACUGUCAUCUGGUACAUUAAUGUACUUGGUUAUAAUUUAAAUAAACGACAUAGGGAACUUUUUCUUGACUUAAGAAUAAAAGAUUAAGAAAGUAAAGGAUUUCAUGAUAAUUUUUACAUUUUUUUUAUUCUGCUUUUUAAAAAUUUAUCUAUGGCUUCAAAGUUUAAGUAGCACUUACUUGGAUUCUGGGUGUUUUCAUGAUUUCCUAAGUUGCCAUCUUAUUAUGAAGGUAAAUGUGUCAUUUUAUAUGUGAGACAUUUUAUAAACAGCUUUUAAAAAAAUCAGUAAAUUAUAUCUGUCAUCCCUUUUGUUCUACACUAUUAGAUUUUUUUUUAAGUGGCUUUGUAAUUGUCAGGUUAAAAAACCCAGCUGACCAUGCAAGUAACAAUUUACACCUAACCAGGAACCAGCUGCUACAUACCCAAGUAGCUCGGUAAUGGAGAAGCUCUUCCAAGGUUCCUUGGCCUCUUACCAUCUUAAUCCAAAGUGAAGCGAUUAUCCUUUCUGCUUUUGCAUGUGAAUUUGCACUUGAGCAGUUUAACAGUUAGUUAUUAAAACUCAUGCUUUAUAAGCAAAAUCUUUCACUGACGAAUAUUUAAAAAGAAUAUAAAAACCGUAGGUCGAGUAUCUCCUUGCCAUGCUUUUCCUCAGCAAAGUCACUUGUAAGAGCUCAAAACAAAUCCUUAACACGUUCAGAGUUCUCUUCAUUCCAAUCACUGAAUAUUAAUCCUCCAACAUAAACUCAAGAGAGAAACAGGCAGCCACAGAAUGGACUCUAAAUUGAAAGUGGCAAAGCCUACCAAGACAAUUCCAUAGACACUUCUCUGAAG